This 397-nucleotide ribosomal RNA is filed under the name uncultured bacterium. RNAcentral's name for it is "partial 16S ribosomal RNA". It matches the Rfam family "Bacterial small subunit ribosomal RNA", at positions 523 to 918 of the family's 1533-position model. The record is from RNAcentral.
AUACGUAGGGGGCGAGCGUUGUCCGGAAUGAUUGGGCGUAAAGGGCGCGUAGGCGGCGCGGUAAGUCUGGAGUGAAAGUCCUGCUUUCAAGGUGGGAAUUGCUUUGGAUACUGCCGCGCUUGAGUGCAGGAGGGGUUAUCGGAAUUCCCGGUGUAGCGGUGAAAUGCGUAGAGAUCGGGAGGAACACCAGUGGCGAAGGCGGGUAACUGGACUGCAACUGACGCUGAGGCGCGAAAGUGUGGGGAGCAAACAGGAUUAGAUACCCUGGUAGUCCACACUGUAAACGAUGAAUACUAGGUGUAAGAGGUAUCGACCCCUUUUGUGCCGGAGUCAACACAAUAAGCAUUCCGCCUGGGGAGUACGGCCGCAAGGUUGAAACUCAAAUGAAUUGACGGGG